UUGGUUAAGUUAGAAAGGGCGCACGGUGGAUGCCUUGGCACUAGGAGCCGAAGAAGGACGGGACUAACACCGAUAUGCUUUGGGGAGCUGUACGUAAGCGUUGAUCCAGAGAUUUCCGAAUGGGGGAACCCACUAUCUUUAGUCGGAUAGUAUCCUUACGUGAAUACAUAGCGUAAGGAAGGCAGACCCAGGGAACUGAAACAUCUAAGUACCUGGAGGAAGAGAAAGAAAAAUCGAUUUCCUGAGUAGCGGCGAGCGAAACGGAAAGAGCCCAAACCAAGAAGCUUGCUUCUUGGGGUUGUAGGACACUCUAUACGGAGUUACAAAAGAAAGCUAUAAAUGAAGCGGUCUGGAAAGGCCCGCCAAAGACGGUAACAGCCCGGUAGUUGAAAUGGUUUUCCCUCCAGAGUGGAUCCUGAGUACGGCGGAACACGUGAAAUUCCGUCGGAAUCCGGGAGGACCAUCUCCCAAGGCUAAAUACUCCCUAGUGACCGAUAGUGAACCAGUACCGUGAGGGAAAGGUGAAAAGCACCCCGGAAGGGGAGUGAAACAGUUCCUGAAACCGUGUGCCUACAAGUAGUUAGAGCCCGUUAAUGGGUGAUAGCGUGCCUUUUGUAGAAUGAACCGGCGAGUUACGAUUUGUUGCAAGGUUAAGCGGAAAAAGCGGAGCCGUAGCGAAAGCGAGUCUGAAUAGGGCGAAUAAGUAACAGGUCGUAGACCCGAAACCAGGUGAUCUACCCAUGUCCAGGAUGAAGGUAAGGUAAUACUUACUGGAGGUCCGAACCCACGCACGUUGAAAAGUGCGGGGAUGAGGUGUGGGUAGCGGAGAAAUUCCAAUCGAACUUGGAGAUAGCUGGUUCUCUCCGAAAUAGCUUUAGGGCUAGCCUCGAGGUAAAGAGUCAUGGAGGUAGAGCACUGUUUGGACUAGGGGCCCUUCUCGGGUUACCGAAUUCAGAUAAACUCCGAAUGCCAUGUACUUAUACUCGGGAGUCAGACUGCGAGUGAUAAGAUCCGUAGUCGAAAGGGAAACAGCCCAGACCACCAGUUAAGGUCCCAAAAUAUAUGUUAAGUGGAAAAGGAUGUGGGGUUGCUUAGACAACCAGGAUGUUGGCUUAGAAGCAGCCACCAUUGAAAGAGUGCGUAAUAGCUCACUGGUCGAGUGACCCCGCGCCGAAAAUGUACCGGGGCUAAACAUAUUACCGAAACUGUGGAUGAACCUCAUUAGAGGUUCGUGGUAGGAGAGCGUUCUAAGGGCGGUGAAGUCAGACCGGAAGGACUGGUGGAGCGCUUAGAAGUGAGAAUGCCGGUAUGAGUAGCGAAAGAAGGGUGAGAAUCCCUUCCACCGAAUAUCUAAGGUUUCCUGAGGAAGGCUCGUCCGCUCAGGGUUAGUCGGGACCUAAGCCGAGGCCGAUAGGCGUAGGCGAUGGACAACAGGUAGAGAUUCCUGUACCAGUGCUAAUUGUUUAACCGAUGGGGUGACACAGAAGGAUAGGGAAUCGCACGAAUGGAAAUGUGCGUCCAAGCAGUGAGUGUGAGAAGUAGGCAAAUCCGCUUCUCGCGAAGCAUGAGCUGUGAUGGGGAAGGAAAUUAAGUACGGAAGUUCCUGAUUUCACGCUGUCAAGAAAAGCCUCUAGGAAGAGUAGUACUGCCCGUACCGCAAACCGACACAGGUAGAUGAGGAGAGAAUCCUAAGGUGAGCGAGAGAACUCUCGUUAAGGAACUCGGCAAAAUGACCCCGUAACUUCGGGAGAAGGGGUGCUCUAUUAGGGUG
RNAcentral lists this ribosomal RNA (1771 nucleotides) under Listeria marthii. RNAcentral describes it as "partial 23S ribosomal RNA". It matches the Rfam family "Bacterial large subunit ribosomal RNA", at positions 1 to 1763 of the family's 2925-position model. The record is from RNAcentral. Lineage: Bacteria; Bacillati; Bacillota; Bacilli; Caryophanales; Listeriaceae.